UACGUAGGGUGCGAGCGUUACUCGGAAUUACUGGGCGUAAAGCGUGCGCAGGCGGUUUUGUAAGCCAGAUGUGAAAUCCCCGGGCUUAACCUGGGAAUGGCAUUUGGGACUGCAAGGCUUGAGUGCGGCAGAGGAGACUGGAAUUCCUGGUGUAGCAGUGAAAUGCGUAGAUAUCGUAAGGAAGACCAGUGGCGAAGGCGGGUCUCUGGACAGUUCCUGACGCUGAGGCACGAAGGUCAGGGGAGCAAACGGG
Molecule: ribosomal RNA, 253 nt
Filed under: uncultured bacterium
Lineage: Bacteria
Description: partial 16S ribosomal RNA
Rfam family: Bacterial small subunit ribosomal RNA
Source: RNAcentral